AGUUCUAUAGCUUAAGGGUUAGAGUAGGGAAUUCAUAUUUCCAAGGUUAUAGGUUCGAAUCCUAUUAGAACUA
This 73-nucleotide transfer RNA is filed under the name Nitzschia alba. Its description in RNAcentral is "tRNA-Met". It matches the Rfam family "tRNA". From Rfam's summary of the family: Transfer RNA (tRNA) molecules are approximately 80 nucleotides in length. Their secondary structure includes four short double-helical elements and three loops (D, anti-codon, and T loops). The record is from RNAcentral. Lineage: Eukaryota; Bacillariophyta; Bacillariophyceae; Bacillariales; Bacillariaceae.